GCACAUUUUGCUUAUGGUUUUUGUUUGUUUGGAAAGCUUCUAAGCACUCAUUUGUAAACAAACAAUCACUUGGGCUCCAAGCUUUUAGAUUAACAAUUCAAGCUUUUGGUUAAGAAUUCAAAAGCCUAGCACCUUUCCAGUGAAGAUGACUUGUACCAUAGCGAUAGAAAAUUUCUCCUCUACCGAAAGAGAACAUAUUGGAGCUAUGCCUCACCAAGAUUUUAUAAACUCUCCUAGAAACUAGAGUUAGAUCUUACUUUUCUUCCCUUUGUCAACUAAGAAACUUGGCUUUGGCUUUCCAGUGGAAGACAUGUCACACAAGCACCUCUCACUCAAAUAAAAGUCCACAAAAAAUAUAAGAGAGAGAUAGAGAUAGAAGAGAACCUGUGCAUUGCUUUAAGUGCUGGCAUACUUAGCAAUGGAUGAUAGCUUUAGUAGCCACUAGAAGCAUCUCCCCAAAGAGCUCUCCAAACAGUAAGAUAGCUGGAAGAAAAACCCGUGAAUUCUCAAGAGAGAAAAGCUAUACCUCGAAGAACAGGGCAUGAUCUUGACAAGCCCCGUCCUCUUUGACAAGCCCCGGUCCUUUUGAUCACGUCAUUGCUCUUUCUACUUUCUCGUCUUGGCGGCUUCUCGAGAGAGAUGACUUGUCACGAUCCN
RNAcentral lists this long non-coding RNA (657 nucleotides) under Selaginella moellendorffii. RNAcentral describes it as "long non-coding RNA (SMOE_LNC000489)". Lineage: Eukaryota; Viridiplantae; Streptophyta; Lycopodiopsida; Selaginellales; Selaginellaceae. The record is from RNAcentral.